Molecule: ribosomal RNA, 315 nt
Filed under: Triticum aestivum (bread wheat)
Lineage: Eukaryota; Viridiplantae; Streptophyta; Magnoliopsida; Poales; Poaceae
Description: partial small subunit ribosomal RNA
Source: RNAcentral
AUGGCGGCGGCCGGCGGCACCUCCUCCGACGAUGUCCCCGUCAUCCAGGCAGAGAACCUCACCAGCAACGUCAGGUCCAUCCUCUACAGCCGGACAUUCUUGUCGAUCAUCAGUGGAGUUGUUGCUGGUAUCUGGGGGUUCACAGGUCUGACGGGCUUCGUCUUCUACUUUCUGAUAAUGUUGGUAGCUUCUAUUGGGCUCUUGGCAAAGUCGAAGUUCUCAGUCCACACGUACUUUGAUAGUUGGAGCAGGAUUUUAGUUGAAGGAGUUUUGGCCGGCCUUAUGUCCUUCGUGCUGUUCUGGACGUAUCCUUGA